AAACACUGCCUUUGAACAUCAUGUCUUGUUUGUAGCUUCACUGUCCAAGCAACAGUGCUAGAGCAUAAGGACUUGUUAUAACUGGGGCUUUUCAGCUCUCAACUGCUCUAUUAAAACAAUAUACAUUU
Molecule: small nucleolar RNA, 128 nt
Organism: Melopsittacus undulatus (budgerigar)
Lineage: Eukaryota; Metazoa; Chordata; Aves; Psittaciformes; Psittaculidae
Source: Ensembl